RNAcentral lists this non-coding RNA (32 nucleotides) under Homo sapiens (human). The record is from RNAcentral. Lineage: Eukaryota; Metazoa; Chordata; Mammalia; Primates; Hominidae.
AGCAAGGACUGCUAAACAUGGCCAGAUGCCUU